This 462-nucleotide ribosomal RNA is filed under the name uncultured bacterium. RNAcentral describes it as "bacterial SSU rRNA". It matches the Rfam family "Bacterial small subunit ribosomal RNA", at positions 1 to 507 of the family's 1533-position model. The record is from RNAcentral.
AGACGUCUACGAGUUUGAUUCUGGCUCAGAACGAACGCUGGCGGCAUGCCUGACACAUGCAAGUCGAACGAACCCUUCGGGGUGAGUGGCGCACGGGUGCGUAACGCGUGGGAACCUGCCCUUAGGUUCGGAAUAACAGUGAGAAAUCGCUGCUAAUACCGGAUAAUGUCUUCGGACCAAAGAUUUAUCGCCUUUGGAUGGGCCCGCGUUGGAUUAGCUAGUUGGUGGGGUAAAGGCUCACCAAGGCGACGAUCCAUAGCUGGUCUUAGAGGAUGAUCAGCCACACUGGGACUGAGACACGGCCCAGACUCCUACGGGAGGCAGCAGUGGGGAAUAUUGGACAAUGGGCGAAAGCCUGAUCCAGCAAUGCCGCGUGAGUGAUGAAGGCCUUAGGGUUGUAAAGCUCUUUUACCAGGGAUGAUAAUGACAGUACCUGGAGAAUAAGCUCCGGCUAACUCCGUG